UGGAUACCAACAACCUUAAUUAGAAAAAUCAAAUCACAGGAAACCUCUAUCUGGGCACCACCGACUCAUCUGAUUAUCUAAAAGACUGGCAGUUUUUUCUUUCCCAGCCAGAGCCCUGGUCUUUUGAAAUUCCUAUUAUUUGUUGAAUGAAAUGUCUUUCUUUCUUCAAUGAAAUGUCUCACCCACCUGGUUGACUUUUGGUGUAGUACUCAAAUUUUUAAAAGCCAUGAAAUUUAAAAUAUGCUCUCUUUCUGAUAUUGUAGCACGCAAGCAAAUGUAAACUAUUUGAAGCAGCUGAAUGUAAACUAUUUGAAGCAGUGAAUGCUUCGUAGUUGCAAAGUUCAGCUUGGACAGCUGGUGGAACAAAGAAGACCAUACUGAGGACUCCGUGGAGAGACUAUGAAUGUUCUCUCCUGUGUCUGGCUCUCCCAGGGAGUUCACUUGCAGAAUCAAAUGAAAACCAAUCCCUUUUAUGCAAACCUUCCUGAAGCAGCAGGGCUAUGUUUGGUCCCGAGAGCGGAGGUUCGUGCAGUGGAAGCCCUGGUGGUGAUUUCUCUCUACCCAGGCCUUGCCAAGGUCCUCCCCACCACGCAGUGAUGAAAGGAAGGAUCAAACAGCCCUCUCAAAGCCAAGCUCCAUCAGACCUGCCUUUACUAAAUAUAGUGCACUUCAAUAAACACCAUUGUGAAUUUGCAGUUUGCUUGCUGGAAAAUACACCACCACCUCCAUCAAAAUUUUAUGCAUGCAUGUAUGUAUUCAGAUCUUUCUCGACUCUCUUUUAUCAACUAAAAUACUCAGCAAAUUUUCUUUUCGUUUUCAAUUUGAUAUUCAAUGUUUCUGCUCAGCACAAAUUAAUUGGAGGAAGCACUGAGUCAGGGAAAGCUGAAUGAAUAAAGUUUAACCACAAACAAGGUGGAGGUCUCUGAAAUUCUUAAAAACACCGCCUUCAGCCAGGCUGCUGAGGUCUGCUGUCCUUCAUCCGUGAAAUGACACUUCCGCUAGUCAAAUAAGGAUGGGGUAGAUCAAAUUAAGAUAAUCAUUGCU
Neofelis nebulosa (Clouded leopard) is the source of this 1044-nucleotide long non-coding RNA. RefSeq lists it as uncharacterized. The transcript is spliced from 3 exons. The record is from RefSeq and is a predicted model, not a curated record. Lineage: Eukaryota; Metazoa; Chordata; Mammalia; Carnivora; Felidae.